This is a long non-coding RNA of Sphaerodactylus townsendi, 2937 nucleotides long. RefSeq lists it as uncharacterized. The record is from RefSeq and is a predicted model, not a curated record. Lineage: Eukaryota; Metazoa; Chordata; Lepidosauria; Squamata; Sphaerodactylidae. The transcript is spliced from 2 exons.
GCACAGGCUAAUCUGAAUUCCCCAGAUAAGCCUCCACAGCUCAAACGACAGAGCGGGGAAUCAAACCCGGUUCCUCCAGAUUAGAAUACCCCUGCUCUUAACCAUUACGCCAAUGCUGGUGCUAGCAAUAGCACCAGUCCUGACAAUGAUCUUUAUGGAACCCCACUGCUUAUCAUCCUCCAUUGCGAGAACUGUCUGCCUGCUCUCUGCUUCCUAUCCAGGUGCUAAACCACAAGAGGCCCCAUCCUCCUAUCCCAUGACUAUUGUUUCUUGAGGAGCCUUUGGUGAGGGAAUCAAGUACAUAGUGGCUACCGGAUCACCACCAUGUGAUUUAAAACCUUCUCCAAGAACUUGAUCAGCUUGUUGAGGUGAAACUUCCCCUUACAGAAGCGGUUCUCAUUAUUCCUCAGUAAGACUUGUUCUUCAGUGUGACUAUUAGUUCCAUCUGCCUCUUCAUAUGUAAAGUGAGUGUGUGUUUAUUUUUAGUAGAAAAAUAGUGUAUAGGGUAAGGGAAGCUGCCCUCUCCUUAUUUUACCUCCUGCUGUUAGCUGGAGCACUUUCUUUCCAACCCAGCAGAUUUUCUACAUUGGAACCAAGCAGGGAAAGAGCAUACUUCAAGCGUGAACUUGGAUCCAGUGGACUGGGGCUACAGUGUGCCGGAGAUGGAGUUUAAUCCUUCCCACCUCCAUGUGGGUUUGCCCCGUAUGGUUGCUAUUUCCAUUUGUAAUGAGCUGGGAUCUUCCUGUGACUCCUCGGGUCCAACCUUGAGUUUGCAAGAGGAACUGAUGCUUACUGCAGAGCCUUUUAGACAAGCAGGACGAAAUUCCUGUUUUGGUGGAAAUCUGCACAAGAAAAUAGCAAAGAACAAGCACACCAGACACAGUUUGGCCAGUCAUUGGAUAUGCAAUACAAUGUAGUUUAAAAAUCACUGCAUUGACAAAUAGUUCUUAUUACUGAGUCAUUGGGUUGGGGACUGUGAUAUUCCCUGGCUGAAGCCUUUGGAGCCCUACACAAAAGACUGACAUGCCGAGCAAUCUUGGGGCUAGAAAUAUUAAGAUCAGCAGUUAUCGGAGUGUGAUUGCGACUCCAUCUCUUACAAGUUGCUCCAAGCAGGCAGUCUAAGCCCACCUCUUCUUGUGACCCGUUCCUACUGAAAUGUCAGUGUGAAACAUUCUGCCCUAAGACUUUGUUUUCUUUUCCAAUGGACAGCUUGACAUUGUGUAUGACAAAGCCAGCUUUUGCUGUGAAAUACGGCUGAAUUGAUUCUGGUGUUCAUGUUGCCCGGCAUUAUCCACCCCUCGAGAUUCAAGCUGGAAAUUACAGGGUUAUUCUUACUGUAAAGGCUUUCAUCUCGAUCGCCACUUUGAAAUUGCAUCCUUGACUUGAAAAUGAUAGUGUGAAAUGUUGGAAAUGUAAAAAAGAAGAUGGCUCAUUUUACCAUUUGUGGGGGACUUGUAGACAUUUUUAAAAAAAAUUGGAAAGAAAUUCAUGUAGAAAUUCAGAAAAAAAUCAAAAUCAAAUUUGCAGUGGAUGUUUGCCCGCCAUAAGGCUAGCCGUCAUAGGCAGUAUAACUUGUGAAUUUACUAAGUCUACAAUAUAUACACUUGUGGGAUUCUGUCUCAGUAGUGCCCCAGUGCACCUUCAAGUAGGCACUUGCUCAUGUGUAGGUAUUCAAUUUCAGAUUUUUGUAUGAACACUCUUAAAUGUGAUUUAUUGACCAACACUGAAAGUAAGCAGAAUGGAAGCCCUUCCAUACAAUUUGGAACUGUAAUAUUAGUGUGAAUAGUAAUACACAUAUUUACAACACACUCAUGAGCCUCCGAAGAUUUGUCGAAGCCAGAACAUAUCCAGAAGCUGGCCACUCGCAUUUAGUUUUCAAUAUAAAGUCAAUAGCUAUCCCUGUGAAGAUUGUGGAAGCAAUUGAAGAAGUGUUGACUAGUACUUAUGAAUACUAUAUAAGAGAGAGAUACUUGAAGGUGCAUUGGGGCACUGCUGAGACACAGCCCCACAAGUGUAUAUAUUGUUGACUUAGUAAAUUCACAAGUUAUACAGUUCUAUGACUGCUGGCUCAAUUGUGUAAACAAUUGCUUGCUUGAAGACUAUGUUACUAGGCACAUUGCCAAAAAUAUUCCAAAAAUCUCAGAUGAAAUGUUUCAGGAUUUGAUAACAACAGCCGGAGUGAUACUUGCAACAAAAUGGAAGGUAGAUUAAUGUUGAAGCUGAAUUAGGAAAAUAAACUAGUAGAAUAUCCAUAAUGGCAAACUUAACAAACUUUGUGAAUAAGCAACCAAAAUAUUUCAAGAUAAAUGGACAGCAUAUUAUUUAUUUUAUUUCACACACACACACAAAAGAAUAAUGGCAAAAUGUGAAGGGUAUUGCUGAAAUGAUAUCAGUAACCUUCAUGAUAUAUGUUAUAUUGAAAAGGGGUUAAAGGGAAAUAGAUAAAUGAUUCAUCACACUAUGUAACAUGGUAAUUAUAUGGCAAUACAAAUGUUAUUUUGUGAGAAAAAUUCUAGAAAUGUAUAAUAGUAACCAUUCAUCAGAGCUUUUUAAAACCUAUUUUGGAUUACUAGAAUUUAAUCAACAAUGGUCAUUAUUGAUAAUUGUUUUUUAUUUUUAAAUAAUGCUAUGCGUAUAAUUUUGUUUCCCUUCUUUGUCUACAGAAGUAAUUGUAACAAUGAUGUCAUUCCAUCUUUUUCUGUCUGUUAAUUUAAUUCUUAUCUAUAAUUUAUUAUUAUAGUGUGAACCAGGCAGAGAUCCAAUUGGCUUUUGCUGAUUUAUUUCCUCUUAAUUUUGCAAAAAAACCCAAACCCUACUUGCAUACAAUCCUCUUUGACUCAUCUUUAGAUACCAAAAUAUGGCUAGAUUGAUGUCUGGAUGCUGGUACCAUUGACAUUUUUUUGCUGAAUACAUUGGGAUCCUUUUGAGUCUUGCUGA